AUUGCCUCAGUAACGGCGAGUGAAGCGGCAACAGCUCAAAUUUGAAAUCUGGCGGCCUCUGGGCCGUCCGAGUUGUAAUUUGAAGAGGAUGCUUUUGGCGAGGCGCCUUCCGAGUGCCCUGGAACGGGACGCCACAGAGGGUGAGAGCCCCGUAUGGUUGGACGCCGAGCCUCUGUAAAGCUCCUUCGACGAGUCGAGUAGUUUGGGAAUGCUGCUCAAAAUGGGAGGUAAACCCCUUCUAAAGCUAAAUACUGGCCAGAGACCGAUAGCGCACAAGUAGAGUGAUCGAAAGAUGAAAAGCACUUUGAAAAGAGAGUUAAAUAGCACGUGAAAUUGUUGAAAGGGAAGCGCUUGCGACCAGACUUGUGCCCGUCGAAUCAGCCGCCGCUCGCCGGCGGCGCACUUCGGCGGGCUCAGGCCAGCAUCAGUUCGCUGCAGGGGGAGAAAGGCGGCGGGAAUGUGGCUCUUCGGAGUGUUAUAGCCCGCCGCGCAAUACCCCUCGGCGGACUGAGGACCGCGCAUCUGCAAG
Molecule: ribosomal RNA, 529 nt
Filed under: Scedosporium apiospermum
Lineage: Eukaryota; Fungi; Ascomycota; Sordariomycetes; Microascales; Microascaceae
Description: eukaryotic LSU rRNA
Rfam family: Eukaryotic large subunit ribosomal RNA
Source: RNAcentral